GACGAACGCUGUUGGCGUGCUUAACACAUGCAAGUCGAACGGAAAGGCCCUGCUUUUGUGGGGUGCUCGAGUGGCGAACGGGUGAGUAACACGUGAGUAACCUGCCCUUGACUUUGGGAUAACUUCAGGAAACUGGGGCUAAUACCGGAUAGGAGCUCCUGCUGCAUGGUGGGGGUUGGAAAGUUUCGGCGGUUGGGGAUGGACUCGCGGCUUAUCAGCUUGUUGGUGGGGUAGUGGCUUACCAAGGCUUUGACGGGUAGCCGGCCUGAGAGGGUGACCGGCCACAUUGGGACUGAGAUACGGCCCAGACUCCUACGGGAGGCAGCAGUGGGGAAUAUUGCACAAUGGGCGGAAGCCUGAUGCAGCAACGCCGCGUGCGGGAUGACGGCCUUCGGGUUGUAAACCGCUUUCGCCUGUGACGAAGCGUGAGUGACGGUAAUGGGUAAAGAAGCACCGGCUAACUACGUGCCAGCAGCCGCGGUGAUACGUAGGGUGCGAGCGUUGUCCGGAUUUAUUGGGCGUAAAGGGCUCGUAGGUGGUUGAUCGCGUCGGAAGUGUAAUCUUGGGGCUUAACCCUGAGCGUGCUUUCGAUACGGGUUGACUUGAGGAAGGUAGGGGAGAAUGGAAUUCCUGGUGGAGCGGUGGAAUGCGCAGAUAUCAGGAGGAACACCAGUGGCGAAGGCGGUUCUCUGGGCCUUUCCUGACGCUGAGGAGCGAAAGCGUGGGGAGCGAACAGGCUUAGAUACCCUGGUAGUCCGCGCUGUAAACGGUGGGUACUAGGUGUGGGGUCCAUUCCACGGGUUCCGUGCCGUAGCUAACGCUUUAAGUACCCCGCCUGGGGAGUACGGCCGCAAGGCUAAAACUCAAAGGAAUUGACGGGGCCCCGCACAAGCGGCGGAGCAUGCGGAUUAAUUCGAUGCAACGCGUAGAACCUUACCUGGGUUUGACAUGGAUCGGGAGCGCUCAGAGAUGGGUGUGCCUCUUUUGGGGUCGGUUCACAGGUGGUGCAUGGCUGUCGUCAGCUCGUGUCGUGAGAUGUUGGGUUAAGUCCCGCAACGAGCGCAACCCUUGUUCACUGUUGCCAGCACGUUAUGGUGGGGACUCAGUGGAGACCGCCGGGGUCAACUCGGAGGAAGGUGGGGAUGACGUCAAGUCAUCAUGCCCCUUAUGUCCAGGGCUUCACGCAUGCUACAAUGGCUGGUACAGAGAGUGGCGAGCCUGUGAGGGUGAGCGAAUCUCGGAAAGCCGGUCUCAGUUCGGAUUGGGGUCUGCAACUCGACCUCAUGAAGUCGGAGUCGCUAGUAAUCGCAGAUCAGCAACGCUGCGGUGAAUACGUUCCCGGG
Molecule: ribosomal RNA, 1343 nt
Filed under: uncultured bacterium
Lineage: Bacteria
Description: 16S ribosomal RNA
Rfam family: Bacterial small subunit ribosomal RNA
Source: RNAcentral